UCCAAUUUGGAAAAAUAUUGGAGUGACGUUUGAAUAAUCUGAAAUUUUUAGAUUUCUUUUCUCACUUUUUUGGGAGGUUUUGCUUCUCUUGCACAGAUGUCGCUUGCACUUCAGUUGCGUGGUUGCCAAACGUUAUAUCGAAAUAUAUUUCAUUUCAUUAUGAAUAUAUAAAAUUAAAGGUAUACCAAAUUAAAAAUUAUGUAAUUUAUAAACAUGAAAUAGAUAUGUUAAAUUAAUAUAUAAAUAUUUAACUUAAUACGUUCAUUAUUAUUUUAUUAAUUUAUCGUCACACGUCAUUUACCAGUUGCCUAAUUACGAAAAGUUUUAUAUGACAUUAACCUCAAAAAUGAUCUUUGAAAAUUGUUGAAAACAAACAACAACAAACAGAGCAACAAAUGAACAAAUAACUACAUAAUGACUGAGAAUGAUAAGUGAUAAUAAUAACUUUAAUGAUAUGAAGGCUGAUGAAGUUUUAGACAACCAAUACAAGAUUUAGAACUUGACAUCGUGAUAAACAAAUUGUACAUUCAGGAACUCGUUUAAAUAUUAUAGGUUGAUUGACGAAUACUCUACAGUUGAUUAGAGCCCAUGAUGAU
RNAcentral lists this long non-coding RNA (596 nucleotides) under Sitophilus oryzae (rice weevil). Its description in RNAcentral is "uncharacterized LOC115887634, transcript variant X1". Lineage: Eukaryota; Metazoa; Arthropoda; Insecta; Coleoptera; Curculionidae. The record is from RNAcentral.